Molecule: ribosomal RNA, 292 nt
Filed under: Staphylococcus aureus
Lineage: Bacteria; Bacillati; Bacillota; Bacilli; Caryophanales; Staphylococcaceae
Description: partial 16S ribosomal RNA
Rfam family: Bacterial small subunit ribosomal RNA
Source: RNAcentral
UUGAACCGCAUGGUUCAAAAGUGAAAGACGGUCUUGCUGUCACUUAUAGAUGGAUCCGCGCUGCAUUAGCUAGUUGGUAAGGUAACGGCUUACCAAGGCAACGAUGCAUAGCCGACCUGAGAGGGUGAUCGGCCACACUGGAACUGAGACACGGUCCAGACUCCUACGGGAGGCAGCAGUAGGGAAUCUUCCGCAAUGGGCGAAAGCCUGACGGAGCAACGCCGCGUGAGUGAUGAAGGUCUUCGGAUCGUAAAACUCUGUUAUUAGGGAAGAACAUAUGUGUAAGUAACUG